GAUGAACGCUGGCGGCGUGCCUAAUACAUGCAAGUCGAGCGAACGGACGAGAAGCUUGCUUCUCUGAUGUUAGCGGCGGACGGGUGAGUAACACGUGGAUAACCUACCUAUAAGACUGAGAUAACUUCGGGAAACCGGAGCUAAUACCGGAUAAUAUUUUGAACCGCAGGGUUCAAAAGUGAAAGACGGUCUUGCUGUCACUUAUAGAUGGAUCCGCGCUGCAUUAGCUAGUUGGUAAGGUAACGGCUUACCAAGGCAACGAUGCAUAGCCGACCUGAGAGAGGGAUCGCCCGCACUAGAACUUGGACGCGGUCCUGACUCCUAAGGGAGGCAGCAGUAGGGAAUCUUCCGCAAUAGGCGAAAGCCUGACGGAGCAACGCCGCGUGAGUGAUGAAGGUCUUCGGAUCGUAAUACUCUGUUAUUAGGUAAGAACAUAUGUGUAAGUAACUGUGCACAUCUUGACGGUACCUAAUCAGAAAGCCACGGCUAACUACGUG
Molecule: ribosomal RNA, 497 nt
Filed under: uncultured bacterium
Lineage: Bacteria
Description: partial 16S ribosomal RNA
Rfam family: Bacterial small subunit ribosomal RNA
Source: RNAcentral